Molecule: non-coding RNA, 178 nt
Organism: Oryza nivara
Lineage: Eukaryota; Viridiplantae; Streptophyta; Magnoliopsida; Poales; Poaceae
Source: Rfam
AACCACACUAUCAAUGAAUGGAUUCACCCACGAGAUGACGUGGCUGUUUUACAUAGGACGAGGACGUGGCAUCCUAUUACCAGCCAUUGCACGAAAUUAAUAGGAUAUGCCACGUUAUCAUCCUAGAUGGAACAACCACGUCAUCACAUGGGUGAAUCCAUUCAUCGAUAGUGUGGUU